Molecule: long non-coding RNA, 2564 nt
Organism: Xiphophorus couchianus (Monterrey platyfish)
Lineage: Eukaryota; Metazoa; Chordata; Actinopteri; Cyprinodontiformes; Poeciliidae
Exons: 3
Source: RefSeq, a predicted model, not a curated record
GAUUUUCACGACAACCGGAAGCUGCAUCUGAAAGGGCUGGAGCACUUCCUGUUUUGGUGACUGUAAUUCAAGUACUCUGAAAAAUGUCUCUCCUCCUCCAGUCCUUUCCAUAAUCCUUACUUAAUUUGCCAGCACUUUGUUUCGCUGAUGCGGAGGAAAUCGCAGCGGUGAAUUCGCCCACCAACAAAUGUGUGAAAGGAUACAAGUUCUUCCACGAAGAAUAUAUCCACAACUAUCAAGGUAAGAAAAGACGUAGUUUAGUGAGCUAAACGCUAGCUACAAUAUAUGAACUAUAUAAACAUAAUAAUGAUAAUGAAGUCUAACUUAGUUUGCUAAAUUACGUGGAAUAUUGGAGACAGACAUAGUUUAAACGUUUAAAUUAGAUUUUGACAUUCUGAAAUGUAUUUGCCAGUACAGUUUGUGGAAAAACAGCAUGCUAGAACUUAGUUAUGAUAUACUAGAUGACGCUUGAUGUUGAAACUAUGUUUUACUUCUGCAUGCGUGUAGUGUCAAAUAUUAUCCAGGGACAGGUAGUUGUCUAGAUGCUUCAGAUCCAUGAAGAAAAAUGAGGAACCGCACAAGCUUAAGGUUUGAAACAGUCAGAAAACCGGUUGGCUCUUGUUCGUUAGUUCGAGUUCCUGUUCAUGUUUGACAGCUGAAGAACUUUCACGUACGACUUCUGGACUACUCAGAGCUUAUUCUAACAUCUUCCUUUUCAGUGGUUACUAUUUGUUUUCUGUUUCUGUUGCGGUUGCAACAUAGUCUGUGGGGUUUUUUUCUGCUGUUGUUGAACUUUACCUUCAAACUAGAAUCUAUUACUUGUUUAAAGCUAAACAUGCUAUAUGUAUUGAUGCAUAUAUGUGUUGCUAAAACACUUGUCUAUUUUAGAUAUCACUGGGUGUUGGAAAAGAAAAGGCUGAGUUAUUGGAUUAUUCCUGUGGUUGUGCAGCUGGUAAAGGUUUUUGCAAUCAUGUAGUUGCACUUCUUUACCAGACUGCACACUACUCCCAACUACAGCUGCCAACUGUUCUUCCUGCACUGGCCUACACAAGUGAUUUACAAAGAUGGCACAGACCAAUAACACAAAUAAGAAAAAAAGAGUGGAACACAUUGUCCUGUGGGGAUACAUCCUGAGCCUGUCAGCGACGUGGUUGUGCGGAAACUAUGGGGAAAUAUCUCCACUCCACAAUUUACAGAGCUUACACAGGACCACUUCCAGAUCUUGACAUUCUGGCAUCAGGAGAAAAACUACACCAACUGGAGUACCAACCACUUAUGGCUCUUGUACUAGAUGGUCUUUCAAAUUUGGAGCUGGUUCCAUCCAAAUUUGGGCCUGUGCCACAGGGCUCACCAUUGUCUUAUCAGUGCCCACCUUAGAAGUCCUCUGGUAGCAUCAUUCUGCACCACAUGGCUCCAGACUUCCCUUCUCUUCCUUCGAUGCUGCAUAGUCUUCCGAAUAUGUGUUUUGUGCAUACACUCGGUCAACUUAUGCAUCUUCAGUCUCUGCAAGUGUCACUGGAAAUGUCUUAUGAAAUAGAGGCCAGAACAAGAGAGCAGUCCAGAUGUCCUGCAUGGGUACAUCUUCGACAGCCAAGACUUACUGCUAGCCGUUUCCGUGAUGCUUGCAGAGGAAGUGCAGAGGAGGAGUCUGCUGCCACAGCACUGGCAUCUCGGAUGAUCAGGAGGUCCACUAGACAAACUGCCGCCAUGAAGCGUGGUCUGCAGAUAGAGUCUAAGGUGCUGGCAAACUAUGCUGAGAUGUUGAGGGUCAAUGUGCUCCCUGUGGGAUUCAUUGUUCGCCCUGACACAUCAUAUCUUGGUGUAACUCCAGAUGGCAGGGUGUAUGACUCGUCAGAAUCACCCCCGUUUGGACUGGUUGAGGUAAAAAGCAGUAUGAAGAAUGAUGUGUCUCAGGUUGCUCACCUCAAGGUUCAGGAUGGCCAUGCUAUUUUGAGGCGUUCACACACAUACUACUGGCAGGUAUAGGGUCAGCUGGAAAUCACCGGAUUGGAAUGGUGCAACUUUGUCGCGGACACGCUAACAACAGUAACUGUUGAGCGGGUGUGGCGUGAUGAGUCUUUCAUUGAUCAAAUGAAAUCUAAACUGGACUUAUUUUACUUCAACACCUUCAUUGAUGUGUUCAUGUCAAUACAAUAAGAAUUAUAAAAAAGUGUAACUUGCCCCUUUGUUCCUUUGCAUUUCAAAUAUCCAAUCUCAAGCUGUGUGAAUCACUGUAAAUAGUUGUUACUCAUGAAACAUACACAGAUGUGCAAAUUUCUUUAAAAGGCAGUUGCAUAAUUUACAAAAAUGUGUUUUCUUAACUGCAGUUGUCUUGUAACCUGUGUUUUAAAAUUGCUUCUUCUUAAGGUUGUCUCAAGUAUUUGCAACUGUUGUUUAGAUUUGAUAUAUAUUAAUUUGCAGCAUAAUUUAAAUCAAUGUAUGGUGUACAAUUAUAAGAUAUGAAAUAGUUAAGGGUUUUUUGUUUUUACUAGAUAUUGUAAAUUGUACUCGAUUUGUUUUCCUUGCAAUUCAACUUAAACAAGAAAAUACAAUAAAAUAGUACA